Molecule: ribosomal RNA, 2578 nt
Filed under: Escherichia coli
Lineage: Bacteria; Pseudomonadati; Pseudomonadota; Gammaproteobacteria; Enterobacterales; Enterobacteriaceae
Description: partial 23S ribosomal RNA
Rfam family: Bacterial large subunit ribosomal RNA
Source: RNAcentral
GUGACAGCCCCGUACACAAAAAUGCACAUAUUGUGAGCUCGAUGAGUAGGGCGGGACACGUGGUAUCCUGUCUGAAUAUGGGGGGACCAUCCUCCAAGGCUAAAUACUCCUGACUGACCGAUAGUGAACCAGUACCGUGAGGGAAAGGCGAAAAGAACCCCGGCGAGGGGAGUGAAAAAGAACCUGAAACCGUGUACGUACAAGCAGUGGGAGCCUCUUAAUGGGGUGACUGCGUACCUUUUGUAUAAUGGGUCAGCGACUUAUAUUCUGUAGCAAGGUUAACCGAAUAGGGGAGCCGAAGGGAAACCGAGUCUUAACUGGGCGUUAAGUUGCAGGGUAUAGACCCGAAACCCGGUGAUCUAGCCAUGGGCAGGUUGAAGGUUGGGUAACACUAACUGGAGGACCGAACCGACUAAUGUUGAAAAAUUAGCGGAUGACUUGUGGCUGGGGGUGAAAGGCCAAUCAAACCGGGAGAUAGCUGGUUCUCCCCGAAAGCUAUUUAGGUAGCGCCUCGUGAAUUCAUCUCCGGGGGUAGAGCACUGUUUCGGCAAGGGGGUCAUCCCGACUUACCAACCCGAUGCAAACUGCGAAUACCGGAGAAUGUUAUCACGGGAGACACACGGCGGGUGCUAACGUCCGUCGUGAAGAGGGAAACAACCCAGACCGCCAGCUAAGGUCCCAAAGUCAUGGUUAAGUGGGAAACGAUGUGGGAAGGCCCAGACAGCCAGGAUGUUGGCUUAGAAGCAGCCAUCAUUUAAAGAAAGCGUAAUAGCUCACUGGUCGAGUCGGCCUGCGCGGAAGAUGUAACGGGGCUAAACCAUGCACCGAAGCUGCGGCAGCGACACUAUGUGUUGUUGGGUAGGGGAGCGUUCUGUAAGCCUGUGAAGGUGGCCUGUGAGGGUUGCUGGAGGUAUCAGAAGUGCGAAUGCUGACAUAAGUAACGAUAAAGCGGGUGAAAAGCCCGCUCGCCGGAAGACCAAGGGUUCCUGUCCAACGUUAAUCGGGGCAGGGUGAGUCGACCCCUAAGGCGAGGCCGAAAGGCGUAGUCGAUGGGAAACAGGUUAAUAUUCCUGUACUUGGUGUUACUGCGAAGGGGGGACGGAGAAGGCUAUGUUGGCCGGGCGACGGUUGUCCCGGUUUAAGCGUGUAGGCUGGUUUUCCAGGCAAAUCCGGAAAACCAAGGCUGAGGCGUGAUGACGAGGCACUACGGUGCUGAAGCGACAAAUGCCCUGCUUCCAGGAAAAGCCUCUAAGCAUCAGGUAACAUCAAAUCGUACCCCAAACCGACACAGGUGGUCAGGUAGAGAAUACCAAGGCGCUUGAGAGAACUCGGGUGAAGGAACUAGGCAAAAUGGUGCCGUAACUUCGGGAGAAGGCACGCUGAUAUGUAGGUGAAGCGACUUGCUCGUGGAGCUGAAAUCAGUCGAAGAUACCAGCUGGCUGCAACUGUUUAUUAAAAACACAGCACUGUGCAAACACGAAAGUGGACGUAUACGGUGUGACGCCUGCCCGGUGCCGGAAGGUUAAUUGAUGGGGUUAGCGGCAACGCGAAGCUCUUGAUCGAAGCCCCGGUAAACGGCGGCCGUAACUAUAACGGUCCUAAGGUAGCGAAAUUCCUUGUCGGGUAAGUUCCGACCUGCACGAAUGGCGUAAUGAUGGCCAGGCUGUCUCCACCCGAGACUCAGUGAAAUUGAACUCGCUGUGAAGAUGCAGUGUACCCGCGGCAAGACGGAAAGACCCCGUGAACCUUUACUAUAGCUUGACACUGAACAUUGAGCCUUGAUGUGUAGGAUAGGUGGGAGGCUUUGAAGUGUGGACGCCAGUCUGCAUGGAGCCGACCUUGAAAUACCACCCUUUAAUGUUUGAUGUUCUAACGUUGGCCCGUAAUCCGGGUUGCGGACAGUGUCUGGUGGGUAGUUUGACUGGGGCGGUCUCCUCCUAAAGAGUAACGGAGGAGCACGAAGGUUGGCUAAUCCUGGUCGGACAUCAGGAGGUUAGUGCAAUGGCAUAAGCCAGCUUGACUGCGAGCGUGACGGCGCGAGCAGGUGCGAAAGCAGGUCAUAGUGAUCCGGUGGUUCUGAAUGGAAGGGCCAUCGCUCAACGGAUAAAAGGUACUCCGGGGAUAACAGGCUGAUACCGCCCAAGAGUUCAUAUCGACGGCGGUGUUUGGCACCUCGAUGUCGGCUCAUCACAUCCUGGGGCUGAAGUAGGUCCCAAGGGUAUGGCUGUUCGCCAUUUAAAGUGGUACGCGAGCUGGGUUUAGAACGUCGUGAGACAGUUCGGUCCCUAUCUGCCGUGGGCGCUGGAGAACUGAGGGGGGCUGCUCCUAGUACGAGAGGACCGGAGUGGACGCAUCACUGGUGUUCGGGUUGUCAUGCCAAUGGCACUGCCCGGUAGCUAAAUGCGGAAGAGAUAAGUGCUGAAAGCAUCUAAGCACGAAACUUGCCCCGAGAUGAGUUCUCCCUGACUCCUUGAGAGUCCUGAAGGAACGUUGAAGACGACGACGUUGAUAGGCCGGGUGUGUAAGCGCAGCGAUGCGUUGAGCUAACCGGUACUAAUGAACCGUGAGGCUUAACCUU